GAUUCCCGUUACCCGUUAUAGCCAUUGUAGGCGCAUAACCUACAAUCGAAAGCUGAUAAGGCAGACACUUGAAAGAUGCGGCGCCGGCGCGGAGACCGUGCGCUCAGCUAAAAGUUAUUCAGAGUCACCACGAAGGGGUUUGACCUCCCGAGGGAGGACUGGUUUUGAUCUAAUAAAAGCGCUCUUCCACACGGGAGUGUGUCGGAGCUACUGGUUGGCAUGUAUUAGCUCUAGAAUUACCACAGUUAUCCAAGUAAGAAAGGGUAAGAUCCAAUGAACCAUAACUGAUUUAAUGAGCCAUUCGCGGUUUCGCCUUACUUAGGCCUGUACUUAGACAUGCAUGGCUUAAUCUUUGA
This 356-nucleotide ribosomal RNA is filed under the name Stylocheiron carinatum. Its description in RNAcentral is "partial 18S small subunit ribosomal RNA". RNAcentral also lists the same sequence under 1 other name. Lineage: Eukaryota; Metazoa; Arthropoda; Malacostraca; Euphausiacea; Euphausiidae. The record is from RNAcentral.